AUACGGAGGAUCCGAGCGUUAUCCGGAUUUAUUGGGUUUAAAGGGUGCGCAGGCGGCCAUUUAAGUCAGCGGUUAAAUCGUGGGGCUCAACCCCAUUCUGCCGUUGAUACUGGGUGGCUUGAUUGCGGUCGAGGUUGGCGGAAUUCGUUGUGUAGCGGUGAAAUGCAUAGAUAUGACGAAGAACACCGAUUGCGUAGGCAGCUGACCAGAUCGCAAAUGACGCUCAUGCACGAAAGUGCGGGGAUCGAACAGGAUUAGAUACCCUGGUAGUCCGCACAGUAAACGAUGGGCGCUCGUCGUCGGCGGCAGACAGUCGGCGGCCAAGCGAAAGCGAUAAGCGCCCCACCUGGGGAGUACGGUCGCAAGGCUGAAACUCAAAUGAAUUGACGGGG
RNAcentral lists this ribosomal RNA (392 nucleotides) under uncultured bacterium. RNAcentral's name for it is "partial 16S ribosomal RNA". It matches the Rfam family "Bacterial small subunit ribosomal RNA", at positions 523 to 918 of the family's 1533-position model. The record is from RNAcentral.